GAUGAACGCUAGCGGGAGGCCUAACACAUGCAAGCCGAGCGGUAGAGUCUCUUCGGAGACUUGAGAGCGGCGCACGGGUGCGGAACACGUGUGCAACCUGCCUUUAUCUGGGGGAUAGCCUUUCGAAAGGAAGAUUAAUACCCCAUAAUAUACUGGAUGGCAUCAUCUGGUAUUGAAAGCUCCGGUGGAUAGAGAUGGGCACGCGCAAGAUUAGAUAGUUGGUGAGGUAACGGCUCACCAAGUCAGCGAUCUUUAGGGGGCCUGAGAGGGUGAUCCCCCACACUGGUACUGAGACACGGACCAGACUCCUACGGGAGGCAGCAGUGAGGAAUAUUGGACAAUGGGUGAGAGCCUGAUCCAGCCAUCCCGCGUGAAGGACGACGGCCCUAUGGGUUGUAAACUUCUUUUGUAUAGGGAUAAACCUAGAUACGUGUAUCUAGCUGAAGGUACUAUACGAAUAAGCACCGGCUAACUCCGUG
RNAcentral lists this ribosomal RNA (479 nucleotides) under uncultured bacterium. RNAcentral's name for it is "partial 16S ribosomal RNA". It matches the Rfam family "Bacterial small subunit ribosomal RNA", at positions 28 to 507 of the family's 1533-position model. The record is from RNAcentral.